Molecule: ribosomal RNA, 424 nt
Filed under: uncultured bacterium
Lineage: Bacteria
Description: partial 16S ribosomal RNA
Rfam family: Bacterial small subunit ribosomal RNA
Source: RNAcentral
AAUAUUGGUCAAUGGGCGAAAGCCUGAUCCAGCCAUGCCGCGGGGGUGAAGAAGGUCUUCGGAUUGUAAAGCACUUUAAGUUGGGAGGAAGGGUUGUAGAUUAAUACGCUGCAAUUUUGACUUUACCGACAGUAUAAGCAUCGGCUAACUUCCUACCAUCAGCCGCGGUAAUACAAAGGGUGCAAGCGUUAAUCGGAAUUACUGGGCGUAAAGCGCGCGUAGGUAGUUCGUUAAGUUGGAUGUGAAAGCCCCGGGCUCAACCUGGGAACUGCAUCCAAAACUGGCGAGCUAGAGUACGGUAGAGGGUGGUGGAAUUUCCUGUGUAGCGGUGAAAUGCGUAGAUAUAGGAAGGAACACCAGUGGCGAAGGCGACCACCUGGACUGAUACUGACACUGAGGUGCGAAAGCGUGGGGAGCAAACAGG